Helianthus annuus (common sunflower) is the source of this 3406-nucleotide long non-coding RNA. RefSeq lists it as uncharacterized. The transcript is spliced from 8 exons. NCBI's taxonomy places the organism in Eukaryota, Viridiplantae, Streptophyta, Magnoliopsida, Asterales, Asteraceae. The record is from RefSeq and is a predicted model, not a curated record.
ACACGCUCAACAACAUUUCCUCCCAUGCCCUCAAGAAACCCAAUAGACAUCUCAUAAUCAAAUCAAAGAGUGAAUGCAGCAAAUGAAACGGUGGAAGCAUUGAAUAUGAAUGAGAAUUGUAUAAGACCAUUGGGUAUGGGAGGUAUCCAAAGGUGUGGUGGAUGCUCCUUCUCUAUUUCUUUUUUAUUAUUUAUUUGGUUUAAUUAAUUAAUCGGUUAUGUUUUUUUUUCUUGAUUGGAACUCCCCAUUCAAUAGCCUCAAUUAACUACAUCAUUGAUGACCACCUUAACAUCUUUGUUUCGUUUUCUCUUUUGGAAAUGGAAAAUCAGUCUGACCGGACAAGAACAGGCAUAACCUCCAACCUCACCAUUCAUCCUCUUUUCUUUGACCAUCAGAACAGGUAGAUCGGGAUAUGAAGCAGUUUCUUAAAGAUGGAGCUACUGAUUGGGAUGCUGUUAUUGAUGCUGAUCAUAUGGAAGCUACCGGUUUAUACUUUGUAAGGUGCUCGAUGAAAUGUCUGUGUGAAAGGUCUCCUGGGAAUCAGCAGCGACGGCCAGAGCCAGUGCAGGAGAUGGAGCCGGAGUGGCAGCAGAAGAGCCGAAAGGACGAUGUUGUUUAUUUUCUUUGUAAAGAUCGACAGCUUGAACCUGCACACUUCAUCGAAGUCGCUCUCGCAUCAUUAGAAGGUCUUUUUUUAAGAGAUGUGAUUGAAAAGCUUAAUGUUCUUAGAGGAAAUGGCAUGGCUUCAAUGUAGUUUAUCGGGGAACUUUCUUAUUUGUUAAUUUAAUUCGCAUCACCCUACCGAACUCUAAAGCCUACAUUUGAAUCAUCGUGCUUCAUUUGUGCACCCAUGUAAGUCUGCUCUAUAAAUAAAGUUGUUUUAUUUAAUACCCAAUGUAGUUUUCCAACUUCCAAAGCAAGUAGUUCAAAUAUUAUGGUGCUAUACUGACUGAUAAAAAAAAUGUUUGGUUUAGAUUCCUGUAUAUGGUUGAUGAUGAAUUGAGGAUAUGAUGUGAAACCCGUGAUUGGGAUCAUUUAUUUUUUUUUUGAACGGCGAUUGGGAUCAUUUAUUAAACGAGCUUAUUUUUAGGCUCAAGCUUGUUUAAGCUCGGCUCAACUCAAGCUUUUAGUGAGCCGCCCUCCAGUAGUCAACAGGUAGUUUGGAUCAUUUACACCCGUACUAUUGAUUCUCACAUAGUUCGGUCUGGAUUUGCAGGGAACAAAGUGGAAAAGCUUUGUGAUCUUGCAAACAUCACAGUGAAUAAGCACUAUGUGUAUGGUGACAACAGCGCUUAGGCCCGGGAGGUGUUCGUAUUGGUAUGUUUUUAACUAUGACCAGGUGAUUUCCGUUAAUUUUCUUUUGCAAAGUCUCCAAUAUGCACCUCAUUUAACGGGUCAAUUCAGGCUGUAUUUUGUGAUUUUAUUUGAUAUAUGUAAAAAAAAAAAACGUAGCAAAAUAUAAAAUGGGUACAAGUUAAACGGGUCAAAAUUAGUCUAACUUGUAUUCAAAUUCGUAUAACGUCCUAAAUUGUUCUAUUUAAAAGAGAUUAGAUUCAUAGAUGUCAAUAGUGGUAAUAGCGUCCACUAUAGCGCGUGCCAUAACGUUGCGAGGUAUUGGCGCUAUUCGCUGGUUAGCGACUAAAUAGCUGAAGAAUAGCGAAUUUUAGAGGCUUUUUAAUUUUUUAUAAAAAUUUAGUUUAUUUGUUUAGAUGAUAAAGAUGGUGUAUUUUCACUAUUUUAGGGUAUUUUUAGCACUUUAAUACCUGAAAUAGCGUAUUUUAACUAUUUAUACAUGAAAAUCACUUUUUUUUUACCCCUACAUCGCUAAGCAUUAAAUAGCAGGCGGGUAUUGGAAAAGCAUGUUUAUCAUUUGGGAAAAGGUAACUUGGAUACUAAUAAAAAACAAAUGAAUUCGAAAAGAAGUUAUGUUUUGUUGGUUGGAGAUGUACAAAUCUCCCUUGCAGGUUAGUAUGAAUUAUAGCUAGCAAAAGAUUAGGAAUAAAAAGGUAAUGGGUUUAAAAAUAUGUAAAUUUGGUAGCUAAUCUAAACUGUACAUGGGCCCGGCACAAGUUAGCAUAGCUUACGUUGGGUUGGGUUUUACUACUCUGCGGACAUUAUGCCUAUCGCCCCUGCACUCCUGCUCAUAACCGAAUCAAAGAGUCUCCUCUCAGUUCUGACGCCAUUUUCAAACAGGUUUUCUUUUCUUUCUAAAAAAUUAGCGAUACGGGUUAGUUUGCUACCUAAUUGUUGUUUAGGACUUCUGAGAUAGUGAAAUGAAAUAUAUACUCUGGCUCUUCAAUCGCUACAUCAACUUAGAUGCUUUUAGCCUCCGGUUUUGUGCAUUAUGUGUAUCGAGACGUAGGAUUUAGGUUAAGGACUUUUAGGAGGAUGAUACGAUUUUGUAUUAGAUCCUUGUUUUAAGAGCUGAAGUUUUUCGUGGCUUAUGCGUGUUAUCGCUUGCAUGAGGUGUUGUCUGUCACUAUUGUACGUUUUUAGUUGUUUGGUAGCUUACUAAGAAUAUUUUUAAUACACUACAUUUUUCUGUUGCUUUUUGAGUGGCUAUGUGCUUAUGUAUGUUUUUUUAUUCGACUCUUAUGUCCGGAUAUGGUUUUGAACUUACACGUUUUUUAGCCUUAGGUUUUGUGCUUGCUUCAAAUUAAAUGAGUUGAUUUGUAAGAAUAAUAGGAGAUAAACCUGUAUGGCAAAAUGUGUUUGGAUUGGUACUUAUGACUCCACAUACUUAAAUAAUUUUUAUUUAUUAACCGUUAUUAUGAUCAGAUCUUAUAACUGAAUUGUCUGAUUAAAAAGUUUAAGCAGAGUCAUGCAGGCCUAUUUAACCUCUGCAUAGUGGUGCUUGUUGCUUGCUAUAAACAGCAAGCUCAUCAUUGAAAAUCUUACGAAGUUCAAGAUCAUUGAGAGACUGGCCACUUCUUAUGUGCUGUCUUCUGGUCUUCCCACUUGCUGCAUGCAUCAUUGAGAAAUUUGCAUGGACCAAACGUAUAGCCGACUCUGCAUUAUAAUAACUACAAUAGCCAUUCUGUAUCCGGUUUUCAUGAUCAUGAGUUGGUUGCAGGCAGCAUGAAGUUGAAGAAUUAGUUGGGACCUGUGUGCAGGGUGGUCCAUCAUGGAAAGGUCAAUCACUGGAAGGCUGGUAGGAACAAGUGUAGGGUUUGGUCGCUCGACAACGCCAGCGCUGGCGACAGGCAAGGAAUUGUCUUCAAGUGGGUUUCGGAUUGAACACGUUAGCUUAACGGAUUGUGUUCAAGUUGUUGACCCAUGUUAACCCAUUUAACUUUAUAUGUAAUUAAAAAAAAUCAUUUAGUCACUUAAACUAAUUGGGUAAUUUAUUUCAAUCAAGUUUUAAAGAUAAAAAGAAAUGAGCAUCAAGCUUCAAGGUUCUAUUACA